RNAcentral lists this ribosomal RNA (498 nucleotides) under uncultured bacterium. Its description in RNAcentral is "partial 16S ribosomal RNA". It matches the Rfam family "Bacterial small subunit ribosomal RNA", at positions 28 to 507 of the family's 1533-position model. The record is from RNAcentral.
GACGAACGCUGGCGGCGUGCCUAAUACAUGCAAGUCGAGCGAACCAAUAAGAAGCUUGCUUUUUGUUGGUUAGCGGCGGACGGGUGAGUAACACGUGGGUAACCUGCCUGUAAGACCGGGAUAACUCCGGGAAACCGGUGCUAAUACCGGAUAGAUUAUCUUUCCGCAUGGAGAGAUAAGGAAAGAUGGCUAUUGCCAUCACUUACAGAUGGGCCCGCGGCGCAUUAGCUAGUUGGUGAGGUAACGGCUCACCAAGGCGACGAUGCGUAGCCGACCUGAGAGGGUGAUCGGCAACACUGGGACUGAGAAACGGCCCAGACUCCUACGGGAGGAAGAAGUAGGGAAUCUUCCGCAAUGGACGAAAGUCUGACGGAGCAACGCCGCGUGAGCGAAGAAGGUCUUCGGAUCGUAAAGCUCUGUUGUUAGGGAAGAACAAGUAUCGGAGGAAAUGCCGGUACCUUGACGGUACCUGACGAGAAAGCCACGGCUAACUACGUG